This is a long non-coding RNA of Homo sapiens (human), 698 nucleotides long. Ensembl annotates it as MIR3663 host gene. The record is from Ensembl. Lineage: Eukaryota; Metazoa; Chordata; Mammalia; Primates; Hominidae.
AGCUCGGCGCGGUGCAUGGGGCUAGAACUCAGGGCCCAGCAGGUCUGACAAUGCAGGUUUCCCCGCUCGCCUGUUGGGUUUUUGAAACGCCCUCAGCGGGGUUUUCCUCCUAAUUCUGGUUUGGAGGAGCCAUCUCUCUCCAUCCCGUCUGCCAGCGGGGUUUGCUUCACACACAGACGUGGGCAGAUGGCAUCGGGGACACAGGGAAACCUGACCUUAGAGGAAAUGGAAAAGUUGGAGAGACACUGAGCACUGAUACGAAAUAAUUCUCUUGCUGAAAUACACGAAAGGAGUCCCAGCAGCCAUAUUAGUAUUUCCACGUCCUGUGUCAGCCCCAAGUAGAGAGAACUUGGAAUGGGAGGGGAAAUGGCAGCCAUCAGGAAAUGAAAUGCUGGCCCAGAGAAUUCUAAGCAAGUCAAUCACCAGUCCAAAAUGCUUCAUCUGGAGAAUUUCAAAGAGACAACCAACCACCUGUUGUCAAUUUCCAUUCACCACCCUAAGUGUUAAUGUAUCUCUGGUUUCCUAAAGUAUUGAAUAAGUAUGAAGCCAAUCAAGCUUUGCCAUGGAGUACCUGGACCAAUCAGUUACCUUGGUUGACUCUUAGUUCCUUCUUGGUAUCUCUGGUUCUAUUUAACACAAUGCACCCGGGUUCUAUGGCUCCAUAAGAGAUGCUCAAAUAAAGACUCUAAUAGCAAAUA